Molecule: ribosomal RNA, 256 nt
Filed under: uncultured bacterium
Lineage: Bacteria
Description: partial 16S ribosomal RNA
Rfam family: Bacterial small subunit ribosomal RNA
Source: RNAcentral
UACGUAGGGUCCGAGCGUUGUCCGGAAUUAUUGGGCGUAAAGGGCUCGUAGGCGGUUCGUCACGUCGGGAGUGAAAACUCGGGGGCUUAACCCCCGAGCCUGCUUCCGAUACGGGCAGACUAGAGGUAGGCAGGGGAGAGCGGAACUCCUGGUGUAGCGGUGGAAUGCGCAGAUAUCAGGAAGAACACCGGUGGCGAAGGCGGCUCUCUGGGGCCUUACCUGACGCUGAGGAGCGAAAGCGUGGGUAGCGAACAGG